UACAGAGGGUGCAAGCGUUAAUCGGAAUUACUGGGCGUAAAGCGUGCGUAGACGGUUACAUAAGUCGGGUGUGAAAGCCCCGGGCUCAACCUGGGAAUUGCAUUCGAGACUGCGUAGCUAGGGUGCGGAAGAGGGAAGCGGAAUUUCCGGUGUAGCGGUGAAAUGCGUAGAUAUCGGGAAGAACACCCGUGGCGAAGGCGGCUCUCUGGGACGGUACUGACGCUGAGACGCGAAAGCGUGGGGAGCGAACAGG
RNAcentral lists this ribosomal RNA (253 nucleotides) under uncultured bacterium. Its description in RNAcentral is "partial 16S ribosomal RNA". It matches the Rfam family "Bacterial small subunit ribosomal RNA", at positions 524 to 776 of the family's 1533-position model. The record is from RNAcentral.